GCGGGGUUCGUAUAGUGGUAAUACCUUAGCCUUCCAAGCUAAAGCGAGGAGUUCGAUUCUCCUACCCCGCUCCA
RNAcentral lists this transfer RNA (74 nucleotides) under Rhodoferax fermentans. RNAcentral describes it as "tRNA-Gly". It matches the Rfam family "tRNA". Rfam says of the family: Transfer RNA (tRNA) molecules are approximately 80 nucleotides in length. Lineage: Bacteria; Pseudomonadati; Pseudomonadota; Betaproteobacteria; Burkholderiales; Comamonadaceae. RNAcentral also lists the same sequence under 66 other names. The record is from RNAcentral.